RNAcentral lists this ribosomal RNA (463 nucleotides) under uncultured bacterium. Its description in RNAcentral is "partial 16S ribosomal RNA". It matches the Rfam family "Bacterial small subunit ribosomal RNA", at positions 28 to 507 of the family's 1533-position model. The record is from RNAcentral.
GACGAACGCUGGCGGCGUGCUUAACACAUGCAAGUCGAACGGUGAACCUCUUCGGAGGGGAUCAGUAGCGAACGGGUGAGUAACACGUGGGCAACCUGCCCCCGGCUCUGGGAUAACUCCAAGAAAUUGGGGCUAAUACCGGAUGUUCACCGCUUCCCGCAUGGGUGGUGGUGGAAAGGGUUUCCGGCUGGGGAUGGGCCCGCGGCCUAUCAGCUUGUUGGUGGGGUAGUGGCCUACCAAGGCGACGACGGGUAGCCGGCCUGAGAGGGUGACCGGCCACACUGGGACUGAGACACGGCCCAGACUCCUACGGGAGGCAGCAGUGGGGAAUAUUGCGCAAUGGGCGGAAGCCUGACGCAGCGACGCCGCGUGGGGGAUGACGGCCUUCGGGUUGUAAACCUCUUUCAGCAGGGACGAAGCGCAAGUGACGGUACCUGCAGAAGAAGCACCGGCCAACUACGUG